This 3073-nucleotide small RNA is filed under the name Mus musculus (house mouse). RNAcentral's name for it is "lincRNA-p21 non-coding RNA". The record is from RNAcentral. Lineage: Eukaryota; Metazoa; Chordata; Mammalia; Rodentia; Muridae.
UGGCAGUCUGACCCACACUCCCCACGCCCAGGACCAAGUCGCCUGAGCCCCAUAGCCACAACUCUCUGCCGGCCUUGCCCGGGCUUGCCUUCGGUUGCAUCAUCUCCCAGCUUUGCCAGGGGUGCAGAAGUGAACCACCCACUCAGCGCUGGAAAAACCAGCUAAUUAUAUCUCCAAAGACCCAGGGCAAGAACUUGUGGACAACCUCAGCUGGCCUGGCCUGUCCCACUCGCUUUCCAUUUCCCCCCACCCUGAGACAGGAUGCCACUGUGUAGCCCAGUGUAGUGAACACUUGGAAUACAAAAUAAAGAUGGUGGAAUGAGACAUUCCGUCUCCAGUUCCUAACAUCAGAAGUGAGCACCUGUGUGUCACCAGCAACAUAUUGGAGGCCAGCUGCCUACACCAAUCAGAAACAGGGACCACAAAGUCUGCAGGGGUGAGAUAGGCCUUUUCAGUGUCUACGAUUUCAUCAUGGACAUUACUGUCGAUUUCUCUUCCUGCCCCUGUAUGUGCGGGUCUAUCGCCAUCUCGCCAUCUCCGGCUCCUGUGUUAUGAAGACAGUCUCAUGCAGCCCAGACCAAUCUCAAAUUGACUAGGUAAACUGAGGCUGGCCUUGAACCAGUCCCUCCUGCCUCUAUCUCCUGAGAGCUGGGUAACAGCUUCUGGAGCCUCACCCAGCUUCGCUUUCACCACCCCAGCCAAUCCUGUGACUCCUCUUCAUAGCGAGAGCAUUGACACUUAUGUUCUGAGUGUGAAAAAAAAAAAAAAAUCACAUAGUACUUCCUACUAGAACCUUGCCCGGGUCAACUGAAGUGUGUGUGUUUGCUUACCAGUCUGCAGGUUUGCUUAAGUUUGUUUAUUUUAGAGACCAGGUCUUGCUCUGUUGCCUAAGCCAACUUGAAACUCUUGGGCUCCAACAGUUCUCCUGCUCCAUCUUUCUAGAGCAGCUGGGACUCUAGGCAUGCUCCACUACAGCUGACUGAAGCUUGAAUGAAUGAAUGAAUGAAUGAAUGAGUUACUACCUCUGAGGGACCCUCCUCAUGGCCUUCUCAACUCUGUACUUUAAUUAGUUGCUUAGAGGUGUCUCCAUGCCUCAGUUUCCCCAUCUGUAAUAGUAAACGAGUUCACAGGCGUGGUCUGUGCUUGGAGCAAGAACAAAACCAUCCUGGCCUAUACUCUCUAGGGACUCUACAGAGCCCAUCCCUUUGGCUAUCAGACUGUUGAGAUAAAGGUUCCCCCAGGAAUCGGAAUCCCCUCCGACAGGAGUCUCAUGCUCAGAGAAGAAAAAAAGCUGAAGCCUGCUGACAGCCAGAGAGGGUACUUGUCUGUCAGGGAAAAAUUCUACACAGGACAGACUGGAGCCCAGACUGGUCUGGGUCAGUGACACACGGCACAGCACACGGUGGGACAACCUGGCUGUGCAUCUCUCUCAAACCUCUUGUCACCCUUCUCACUGUGGCCACAGCGAAGCGAAUACAUCUCUCUGCUUUUCACUACGUAGCUCCAUCAUUGCCUUGGGGGGGGGUAGCGAGGAAGGUCACUGGGGCCCUGCCUCUGAUAAGAAGAACGAGCAAUUAUGAUUUCCAGGAACCGAGGGUGCUCUUGCUGUUCAGUGUCUCCAGCACCCCCGGAGACCCCAGGGCUGCCGUCAAGGGUGUUCAAUAAACACGUAUCGAUUGAGCCAACAAUGCCAGAAUUGGACCUGCAGAGGAGAAAAUGGACAAACAAGACAGUGAGCCUGCAGGUGAGACCAGAACUGGAGCCAACAAUCUACCUCUCUCUCCCAACCCUAGCAACGCCAGCAGCUCUCUGGGCGAGGGGCACAGUUGCUUCCAGUUGGCAGAACCAGUCUCCCAGCUUCCCUUCAGAACCCAGCACCUGCUGAGCCACCGACCCACGGACUGUCUCUCUCUGGAAGGCAGCCACCGACCCACGGACUGUCUCUCUCUGGAAGGCAGUUCACCUCUGGGUUUCAACACUGCCCUUUCCCCUUUCCUUCUUUAGCCCUUAGGAAUCCCUGAAAGCUUCCUGUGCUUGUGGCUUCUGUGACUUCUCAACAUCUCUUGUGCACACACACACACACACACACACACACACACCAGCCUGUGUCUAAGCAGUUCAUCCUGUACAAUGUCUCUCUGAUAAAAUAACUGAUUCCAUUUCUGUCACCUGCUGAGGCUCCAGCAGCUCUGCCCUCAGACCUCUUAAAGCUGAGGCUCAGAAGCACAGGGAGGCACGGGAACCUGGUCCCAGGCCCUGGCUUGCUGGAGCGAAGGAAUCUAUUGCUUCGGCCACUCGGUCAGAAUCCCUCGGAGAUUGAUGUGAUAUGCACAGUGACACCCAAUCGGGCUUGGAAAACUGGGCCAACAGUUAAGCCACACAAAGGAACUAACCACAGCUCCACUGGCAACUGGCUCCUUGGCAAGUGCCAAAACAAACAGCUGUGGUGCAGGCCUUCCCCGGGCUGCCGGCUUCCUGGACACUGGCAGAGGCCGCUCAAGAAGGGAGUACCUGAGUAGGGUGUUGUUCAGUUGGUAGAACGUUUGCUUGCCUUCCAUGAAGCCCAGGGUUCUGUCUGCACCUCAUACCUGUGAUCCUAGCAGUUGGGAAAAGACAGCAAGCACCCGGAUCAGAAGUUCAAGACCACCCUCCCCUUUAUAAAGGGAUCUGAGGCAGCCUGGGACAUCUGAAUGACAAAUGAAAAGAGCCGUGAGCUAUCUGGUGUUUUCUUCAUGGAAGUCCAAGUCUCCCCCUCAUUCCUCCCAGGAUUCUCCGAAUCUGGCUGUUGUCUUUUGCGAUAUUUUAGAAUAUUCUAGCCAGAGCGCAGAGUAUAAAAUACAAGUCAAAGGCAAUGAGCAUAUGUUAGAUGGAUGGAGGAGGGCCUAAAAAUGCUGGUGCUGGGGAGGAAAAAUGGCUCAGCAGUUAAGAGCACCGGCUGCUUUUACAGAGGACCUGCCUUCAGUUCACAGCAACCGCAUGACGGCAACUCUGGUUCCAGGAAAUCCAAUGCCCUCUUCUGACCUCUAUAGGCACCCGGCAAGCACACAGUGCACAGACAAUCAUACACACGUGU